RNAcentral lists this ribosomal RNA (497 nucleotides) under uncultured bacterium. RNAcentral describes it as "partial 16S ribosomal RNA". It matches the Rfam family "Bacterial small subunit ribosomal RNA", at positions 28 to 507 of the family's 1533-position model. The record is from RNAcentral.
GACGAACGCUGGCGGCGUGCCUAAUACAUGCAAGUUGAGCGAUGAAGAUUGGUGCUUGCACCAAUUUGAAGAGCAGCGCACGGGUGAGUAACGCGUGGGGAAUCUGCCUUUGAGCGGGGGACAACAUUUGGAAACGAAUGCUAAUACCGCAUAACAACUUUAAACAUAAGUUUUAAGUUUGAAAGAUGCAAUUGCAUCACUCAAAGAUGAUCCCGCGUUGUAUUAGCUAGUUGGUGAGGUAAAGGCUCACCAAGGCGAUGAUACAUAGCCGACCUGAGAGGGUGAUCGGCCACAUUGGGACUGAGACACGGCCCAAACUCCUACGGGAGGCAGCAGUAGGGAAGCUUCGGCAAUGGACGAAAGGCUGACCGAGCAACGCCGCGUGAGUGAAGAAGGGUGUCGGAUCGUAAAACUCGGUUGGUAGAGAAGAACGUUGGUGAGAGUGGAAAGCUCAUCAAGUGACGGUAACUACACAGAAAGGGACGGCUAACUACGUG